RNAcentral lists this ribosomal RNA (253 nucleotides) under uncultured bacterium. Its description in RNAcentral is "partial 16S ribosomal RNA". It matches the Rfam family "Bacterial small subunit ribosomal RNA", at positions 524 to 776 of the family's 1533-position model. The record is from RNAcentral.
UACGAGGGGGGCAAGCGUUGCUCGGAAUUACUGGGCGUAAAGGGCUCGUAGGUGGCCAACUAAGUCGGACGUGAAAUCCCUCAGCUUAACUGGGGAACUGCGUCCGAUACUGGAUGGCUUGAGUUUGGGAGAGGGAUGCGGAAUUCCAGGUGUAGCGGUGAAAUGCGUAGAUAUCUGGAGGAACACCGGUGGCGAAGGCGGCAUCCUGGACCAACACUGACACUGAGGAGCGAAAGCCAGGGGAGCAAACGGG